AUACGGAGGGGGUUAGCGUUGUUCGGAUUUACUGGGCGUAAAGCGCACGUAGGCGGACUGGAAAGUUGGGGGUGAAAUCCCGGGGCUCAACCUCGGAACUGCCUCCAAAACUUCCAAUCUAGAGAUCGAGAGAGGUGAGUGGAAUUCCAAGUGUAGAGGUGAAAUUCGUAGAUAUUUGGAGGAACACCAGUGGCGAAGGCGGCUCACUGGCUCGAUACUGACGCUGAGGUGCGAAAGCGUGGGGAGCAAACAGGAUUAGAAACCCCAGUAGUCC
RNAcentral lists this ribosomal RNA (274 nucleotides) under uncultured bacterium. RNAcentral's name for it is "partial 16S ribosomal RNA". It matches the Rfam family "Bacterial small subunit ribosomal RNA", at positions 523 to 796 of the family's 1533-position model. The record is from RNAcentral.